UACGGAGGGUGCGAGCGUUGUCCGGAAUCAUUGGGCGUAAAGGGCGCGUAGGUGGCCUGGUCAGUUCGUGGUGAAAGCGCGGGGCUCAACCCUGCGUCGGCCAUGAAUACUGCUAGGCUUGAGCACUGUAGAGGCAGGCGGAAUUCCGGGUGUAGCGGUGGAAUGCGUAGAGAUCCGGAAGAACACCGGUGGCGAAGGCGGCCUGCUGGGCAGUAGCUGACACUGAGGCGCGACAGCGUGGGGAGCAAACAGG
Molecule: ribosomal RNA, 253 nt
Filed under: uncultured bacterium
Lineage: Bacteria
Description: partial 16S ribosomal RNA
Rfam family: Bacterial small subunit ribosomal RNA
Source: RNAcentral